Molecule: ribosomal RNA, 485 nt
Filed under: Florisuga mellivora
Lineage: Eukaryota; Metazoa; Chordata; Aves; Apodiformes; Trochilidae
Description: partial 12S ribosomal RNA
Rfam family: Bacterial small subunit ribosomal RNA
Source: RNAcentral
UAGAUACCCCACUAUGCUUAGCCCUAAGUCUUGACACUUCCCAAACCAAAGUGUCCGCCUGAGAACUACGAGCACAAACGCUUAAAACUCUAAGGACUUGGCGGUGUCCUAAACCCACCUAGAGGAGCCUGUUCUGUAAUCGAUAAUCCACGAUGCACCCGACCACUCUUUGCCCAAUUCAGCCUACAUACCGCCGUCGCCAGUCUACCUAACUUGAAAGAACAGCAGUGAACACAACAGCCCUAACCACGCUAACAAGACAGGUCAAGGUAUAGCCCAUAGAGUGGAAGAAAUGGGCUACAUUUUCUAAACUAGAAAAUCACGAAAGGGGACAUGAAACUCUCCCUAGAAGGCGGAUUUAGCAGUAAAAUUGGACAAUAACGCCCUCUUAAAACUGGCCCUAGGACACGUACAUACCGCCCGUCACCCUCCUCACAAGCUACAUAGAUAAGUAACUAACAACAACUUUCAGCCAAAGACGGAGU